GUGCUCACUUUAACAGCACAUACACUAAAACUGGAAUGCUGACAGAUUAGCAUGGCACCUGCGCAAGGAUGACAGAUAAAUUCAUGAAGUGUUCCAUAUAAAA
This 103-nucleotide small nuclear RNA is filed under the name Propithecus coquereli (Coquerel's sifaka). Lineage: Eukaryota; Metazoa; Chordata; Mammalia; Primates; Indriidae. The record is from RNAcentral.